GUUGUUAGAGAAUCCCUUGGUAUGGUAUUUUGCCCAGCGUCAACUGUCAACUUGACAUAGUCAAGAGCCAAUUGCUAAGAGAGUCUCAAAUGAGUGUCCUUUUCAGCAAUCUGGAAGCUGAAAUAAGCCCUUUCCUUCUUAAAGGGGGUUUUGGUCACGAUAUUUGUGGCAGCAACUGAAUCAAACUGGAAUAUUUGGAAUCUACGCCUUUUGAUGGGACUAUAAACAUCUUUUCACAGCUUCUGAACUACAUCCCAUAAUAUACAUGACCGCAUCCAUCACAGACAGCCAAGAGGCUGCUUCUGGGAUUUUUUUCCAUCCAGUAAUAUCUCUCUGGGUAAGAUGAUACACACGUCACUCACUUCAGGCCAGGGACAGGUGUGUUGUCUUUUGAUUUUUCUGCACACCGGUCUUCACCACCAUGUCUCAUGCCCAGCCUGCAUCAAGAGAUGGCUUGCCCCGAGCCAAUAUGAUUACAGAGGAAAAACAACAAAACCCUCUGACAUGGCUGGCUUUGAUGGGUCUAGUGUUAUUUGCUGCCCCCUUGUGGUCAGACUGGAUUCCCUCAUUCGCCUCUCCAGGACGUAUAGCAGGUUUCUGAAGAGAAAGCUUGGCAGAGUUUUGUUAGGAGGAACAGAGAGAAAGGUUGAAACUGGCGAGAGUUUUAAAUAAGAAAAGACUAAUGAAAUGGUUGCUACACUUGACACUCU
Molecule: long non-coding RNA, 710 nt
Filed under: Rattus norvegicus (Norway rat)
Lineage: Eukaryota; Metazoa; Chordata; Mammalia; Rodentia; Muridae
Description: long non-coding RNA NONRATT027683
Source: RNAcentral